This 265-nucleotide long non-coding RNA is filed under the name Mytilus galloprovincialis (Mediterranean mussel). Lineage: Eukaryota; Metazoa; Mollusca; Bivalvia; Mytilida; Mytilidae. The record is from RNAcentral.
UUUGUACAUUUUACUUUACUGAACAUUCUUGCUGCUUAAAAUUAUCUCUAUCUAUAAUGAACUUGGCCCAUUAGUUUCAGCGGAAAAUGUUAGUAAAAAUUUACAAAUUUUAUGAAAAUUGUAAAAAAUUGACUAUAAAGAACAAUAACUCCUAAGGGGGUCAAUUAACCAUUUCGGUCAAGUUGACUUAUUUGUAAAUCUUACUUUGCUGAACAUUAUUGUUGUUUACAGUUUAUCUCUAUCAAUAAUAAUAUUCAAGAUAAUG